Long non-coding RNA from Solea senegalensis (Senegalese sole), 2652 nucleotides. RefSeq lists it as uncharacterized. The transcript has 2 exons. The record is from RefSeq and is a predicted model, not a curated record. Lineage: Eukaryota; Metazoa; Chordata; Actinopteri; Pleuronectiformes; Soleidae.
CUAUAACUUGUCAUGUGAAAUAUUCUUAUUAGUUAUUAGUCAGACAUUUAGUUAGUUAGAUUCUGUACACUUGGUACGGAACACCUUACGUACAAUGGCACGUAACAGAGAAACAACAUUCACAAAACACGUAGCAUUCACUUCACAAAUUAACAGAUUAUGGCAAUUUUGUUUUUGGAUAUUACAUGGCAAUAGACCUGGUGCAACAUGUAGUGACGUCUCGUGACAAACACAGUCAGGAGUCAUUCACAUAAUGCUGGAUUCCUCACUGAUUCAGUGCAGUGAUGGCUGAAGGCACCAGGAGUCUGUUUUUAAACCGUACUCUGUUGUAUCUAAACGUUCUGUAUCUGAAGUACUGGUGUAGUGGGUGAGUGUGAUCUUGUAUUAUUGUGUUUUUGCAAUGCAUGUAAAGGCUUUGGCAUUUAAUUGAGUGAGACUGGGAGUGUGGAGGCCUACAGUAUAACCUUUGAGGCAAUAUUGGUUGUUGUGGUUUGUGAGGAUGUUCCAUUUUUUUGAUUGUGAGCGUGUUAUAAAAGCAUGUAGAACAAUACAUGAGAACUGGUUGAAUGCUUUUAUAAAACAGAAGGAGGAAAUUUGACAUUUAGUCCUUUUAUUUUGCAAAUGAAGCCUUUGAUUGAUUUUCUUUUGAAUAUCUCAUGUGUGUUGAUCAAAACUGCAUUUAUUCAGCUCAGUAUAAAAGGAUAAGCCCCAAAUCAUGGAACAUUGGCAGGUUAUAACAGCAAGCCAUAAUGUACGAUGCAUGUAGUGUAUGCUUGAGCACAAUCUAAUUUAUUUAUACAUGUAUUUCAUAAAAAGAUUUGGCAAUAUGGAACAUCAGACAACAAUAUAAAAUACAAUAUACAACAUCUAUGUCCUUUAUAGCUUUGUUUUGUUUAGCGCAUGCUGCAACAUUUCUGACUUUUCCUGAAGCCACUAAAACAGGAAAUGAUGCUUAAAUGUGACAUUUCUUAUGAUUGGAGUUCACCCUAGUGAUGAACUGCUCUAAAGUUCAAGAGGAUCAGAAUCCAAUGUUGUGUCUUCUAAAAUAUCAAGUGUCUACUUUCCGUUUUUCAGAAUUUAUGACUGUUUGGCUGAGGAUGAAGAGAAGCUGCUCUUGAGAAAGGGAGGCUAAAGAAAGUUUGAUGGCAGUUUUUCUGAGCCGUGACAUGCUGUGAGUGACAAGUAACCUGCAGGGGGAAAAAGGACCAGGUAUGCACACUGCUCUCUCCCCCACUAUCUCCACAUGUAUGAGCACCGGAUUACAAGUGAAAGGCAAACUUUGCUACUGCUUUCUUUGUAUGUGCAAAAAUGAGAUCAAGAGGCCUCCAACAACAACAACAACAAAAACAAAAACACAUUUCUGUAUGAUUUUUUUUAAAGGAACAGAGUGAACUAUUGAGACUCUGUAAGUGUCUCGGCUAAUGGUUUAGCUAAUGAUUCCUCAUUAUAGUGAGAAUAGCUGUGGGCCUGGUAAUCCUGACACCCUGACACAAGUCAUUAACUCUGACUGGACUGGAAAAGUCCACACACACAUGCUGGAACAAACCCAUGAUGUUUGUGUGGAUGGAUUUCUGAGUCUGUUUACAAUGCACACACUCACACAGUAACACACUAAUAAUGUGUAAUGUGAACUGUUGUGAGUAUGUGAUAACUAUGAGUAUGAGAUAGUAACAGAUAAACUGAACGGACGGAAAAUCCUGUUGGGGGUGUGAAUUAUGAGAAAUCUGUGUGAUAACAUCUCAUGCAAAUGUAGGGCAAAAACAUAAAAUGCAGUGUCACGCUGCACAACCUCAGUGUCUGCUGAAACCAGGGAGACAAACAUCAGUAACAGUAUUAUAUCGGGUCUAUACGCCAUCUCAUAUUUCCUGUAUCUCCACGUCACAGUGCAUUCUUCAUACUGUACUGUAUAUUUGAGAUAAGAUGCUAAUUUAUUUCUUAGUGCAAACACAGAUCAAUUCAGAGACACAGACGGGACAGAAGUCAGGAGGAUGUGCAGCUGAUUUUUGUAAACUUUUAAUGGAACCAAUUAUGUGUUUGGGGAAAAAGUAGAAGUAAUUAUUCUAAGUGUGUGUUCUUAAGAACCAGCACGAGAAGUGGAUUAUGCCAUUGAUGUGAGAUUGUAAAAGCACAGAGCACAUCCCUUUGCUGAGGGAAUCAAAGAGAGGUGAGAAUGAGAACGACACGGCUGAGUUAAGUUUAUUUAGAAAGAACGCUCUCUCUCUCUCUAAGCUGCUCCCAGAGGAAUGGAUCCACUGCUACUCUCUCUAUUUUAGAGUGUUCUUAAACCCCAGAGAAAGAGAGGCUCUAAUUUUUGCCUGCCUUGCACUCUGCAAGGUUGCACUGAAAAGUUCUGAAAACAUUUCUUUGAAAUUUUCCUCACUAUUUUCCAACAAGAGACAGUGGAGCGCUUUGAAUUCUGAGCUGUAUUAUGACCAAAGGCUACUCGACGAUGACGUUUAACGCUCACAAUAAUGGAGUAUUCGUGUCAGGCCCACAUAUUCCUUAUGACCUUUAUAUGGUGUGUUUUCGGAUGUGAUUAUUUUACAAUUCCACCACUGAAAUCCAUACAAUCACAACUACUAAUCAUCUGCCAGAUGUUUACUCUCACAUGUGUUCUAACCUAUAAUCCCUAUAAAACAUGUACAAUACUGA